CAUUAUGCUCAGCCGUAAACUUUGAUAGCCUGCUACACCCGCUAUCCGCCCGGGUACUACGAGCACCAGCUUAAAACCCAAAGGACUUGGCGGUGCUUAACAUCCAUCUAGAGGAGCCUGUCCAAUAACCGAUAAUCCCCGUUAAACCUCACCCUCCCUUGUCUUUCCCGCCUAUAUACCGCCGUCGUCAGCUCACCCUUUGAGGGAACCAUAGUAAGCAAAAUUGGCACAGCCCAGUACGUCAGGUCGAGGUGUAGCUAAUGAGAGGGGAUGAGAUGGGCUACAUUUCCUAAACAAGGAAAUACGAAUAAUGAUUCUGAAACGAGCAUUAGAAGGAGGAUUUAGUAGUAAGUAGAAAACAGAGUGUUCUACUGAAUUGGCCACUUAAGCGCGCACACACCGCCCGUCACUCUCCCCAAGCUAAACAAAAUUUAUUCCUAAAACCCCUAUCUGCAACAGGGGAGGCAAGUCGUAA
This 475-nucleotide ribosomal RNA is filed under the name Dascyllus reticulatus (reticulated damselfish). RNAcentral's name for it is "partial small subunit ribosomal RNA". It matches the Rfam family "Bacterial small subunit ribosomal RNA", at positions 788 to 1491 of the family's 1533-position model. The record is from RNAcentral. Lineage: Eukaryota; Metazoa; Chordata; Actinopteri; Pomacentridae.